This 75-nucleotide transfer RNA is filed under the name Pseudomonadaceae bacterium. RNAcentral describes it as "tRNA-Val". It matches the Rfam family "tRNA". From Rfam's summary of the family: Transfer RNA (tRNA) molecules are approximately 80 nucleotides in length. Lineage: Bacteria; Pseudomonadati; Pseudomonadota; Gammaproteobacteria; Pseudomonadales; Pseudomonadaceae. The record is from RNAcentral.
GGGUUGUUAGCUCAGUGGUAGAGCUUCUCCUUUACACGGAGGGGGUCGGGAGUUCGAAUCUCUCACAACCCACCA